This 27-nucleotide ribosomal RNA is filed under the name Loma morhua. RNAcentral describes it as "partial large subunit ribosomal RNA". Lineage: Eukaryota; Fungi; Microsporidia; Glugeidae. The record is from RNAcentral.
CUCUGCGCAAGGGAUCUUUUGGUUCGC